AUUGAACGCUGGCGGCAUGCCUUACACAUGCAAGUCGAACAGCAGCACGGGAGCAAUCCUGGUGGCGAGUGGCGAACGGGUGAGUAAUAUAUCGGAACGUGCCCAGUCGUGGGGGAUAACGCAGCGAAAGCUGUGCUAAUACCGCAUACGAUCUAAGGAUGAAAGCGGGGGAUCGCAAGACCUCGCGCGAUUGGAGCGGCCGAGAUCAGAUUAGCUAGUUGGUGGGGUAAAGGGCCACCAAGGCGACGAGCUGUAGCUGGUCUGAGAGGACGACCAGCCUCACUGAAACGGAGACACGGUCCAGACUCCUACGGGAGGCAGCAGUGGGGAAUUGUGGACAGUGGGCGCAAGCCUGAUCCAGCAAUGCCGCGUGCAGGAUGAAGGCCUUCGGGUUGUAAACUGCUUUUGUACGGAACGAAACGGCCCUUUCUAAUACAGGGGGCUAAUGACGGUACCGUAAGAAUAAGCACCGGCUAACUACGUGCCAGCAGCCGCCGUAA
This 500-nucleotide ribosomal RNA is filed under the name uncultured bacterium. Its description in RNAcentral is "partial 16S ribosomal RNA". It matches the Rfam family "Bacterial small subunit ribosomal RNA", at positions 29 to 523 of the family's 1533-position model. The record is from RNAcentral.